RNAcentral lists this ribosomal RNA (486 nucleotides) under uncultured Sterolibacterium sp. RNAcentral describes it as "bacterial SSU rRNA". It matches the Rfam family "Bacterial small subunit ribosomal RNA", at positions 897 to 1382 of the family's 1533-position model. The record is from RNAcentral. Lineage: Bacteria; Pseudomonadati; Pseudomonadota; Betaproteobacteria; Nitrosomonadales; Sterolibacteriaceae.
AAACUUAAAUGAAUUGACGGGGCCCGCACAAGCGGUGGAGCUAUGUGGUUUAAUUCGACGCAACGCGAAAACCUUACUGGGCUUGACAUGCCGGGAAUCCUGAUGAAAGUUGGGAGUGCCCGUAAGGGGAACCCGGACACAGGUGCUGCAUGGCUGUCGUCAGCUCGUGCCGUGAGGUGUUGGGUUAAGUCCCGCAACGAGCGCAACCCUUGUCACUAGUUGCCAUCAUUUGGUUGGGCACUCUAGUGAGACUGCCGGUGACAAACCGGAGGAAGGUGGGGAUGACGUCAAGUCCUCAUGGCCCUUAUGGGUAGGGCUUCACACGUCAUACAAUGGUCGGUACAGAGGGUUGCCAAGCCGCGAGGUGGAGCCAAUCCCUUAAAGCCGAUCGUAGUCCGGAUCGCAGUCUGCAACUCGACUGCGUGAAGUCGGAAUCGCUAGUAAUCGCGGAUCAGCAUGUCGCGGUCGAAUACGUUCCCGGGCCUU